AGUAACGGCGAGUGAACAGGGAUUAGCCCAGCACCGAAGUCUGCGUCCGUUUGGACGUUCGACAAUGUGGUGUUUAGGUUGGUAUCUUUUUGUGUUGCUCUGUUUAAAGUCCAUUCUUGAAUAUGGCUAAUAGUUUGGCCCAGAGAGGGUGAAAGGCCCGUGUGGAUGGAGCGAUGCUUGACUGUGUUAACUAUGGAGUCGGGUUGUUUGAGAAUGCAGCCCAAAGUUGGUGGUAAACUCCAUCUAAGGCUAAAUACUGGCACGAGUCCGAUAGCGAACAAGUACCGUGAGGGAAAGUUGAAAAGUACUCUGAAGAGAGAGUUAACAGUGCGUGAAACCGCUUAUAAGCAAACGGGUGUAGUCAAGCUGCAAGCCUUAAGAAAUAGGGGGGUCAGAUUGGCGUGAGUCUGAGCAUAUAGAACUGGCAAAUGGGUCCGAUUUUGUCGGGGUCUGGUCUCUACAGGCUAAAUUUUGAAAAGCCUGACCCCUUGCAAAGCUAGUUUGCUGGUGGUCCUGUGGGCCUCUCCUUUUUCUUUGGCCUAUUUCACCACCCGCCUCGCUGGCCGGCCGCUCUGGUUCAACCGUUACUGGAAGAAUUUCCCGCUUGUUGGCUUGCCGGAGGAGGGAGCUGGGACGGGUCUCGCCUGGCUAGUGGAAUUUGCUGAACGGAGUGGUAUCUGUAACUGUGCAGUGAGACGUGACUGGCGGUGCUUUGCGUGCUUGUGAGCUAACGUGUGCUGGCGUGGGCUACGUAUGGCUGCUAGUAGCGGCCAUAACAUCCUGGACUGCGCCCGACUGCGCGUUUGCGCAUGGCUUUCCUGUGCCUAUCUUUGUGUCGUACUAUAGAUGAUCCACACUACCCAGACUAGACACCCCGGA
This 879-nucleotide ribosomal RNA is filed under the name Polynemicola sp. SC-2018. Its description in RNAcentral is "LSU rRNA". It matches the Rfam family "Eukaryotic large subunit ribosomal RNA", at positions 82 to 665 of the family's 3401-position model. Lineage: Eukaryota; Metazoa; Platyhelminthes; Monogenea; Mazocraeidea; Microcotylidae. The record is from RNAcentral.